GCCAGACUCCUACGGGAGGCAGCAGUGGGGAAUAUUGCACAAUGGGGGGAACCCUGAUGCAGCGACGCCGCGUGGGUGAAGGAGCACCUCGGUGCGUAAAGCCCUAUCGGCAGGGAAGAAAAGCGAACAGGUUCGCCUGGACGGUACCUGGCUAAGAAGCCCCGGCUAACUACGUGCCAGCAGCCGCGGUAAUACGUAGGGGGCAAGCGUUAUCCGGAUUCACUGGGUGUAAAGGGAGCGUAGACGGCGACGCAAGUCAGAUGUGAAAAUUAUGGGCUCAACCCAUAACCUGCAUUUGAAACUGUAGUUCUUGAGUGAUGGAGAGGCAGGCGGAAUUCCGUGUGUAGCGGUGAAAUGCGUAGAUAUACGGAGGAACACCAGUGGCGAAGGCGGCCUGCUGGACAUUAACUGACGCUGAGGCGCGAAAGCGUGGGGAGCAAACAGGAUUAGAUACCCGUGUA
This 461-nucleotide ribosomal RNA is filed under the name uncultured bacterium. RNAcentral's name for it is "bacterial SSU rRNA". It matches the Rfam family "Bacterial small subunit ribosomal RNA", at positions 330 to 792 of the family's 1533-position model. The record is from RNAcentral.